This is a long non-coding RNA of Taeniopygia guttata (zebra finch), 1148 nucleotides long. RefSeq lists it as uncharacterized. The record is from RefSeq and is a predicted model, not a curated record. NCBI's taxonomy places the organism in Eukaryota, Metazoa, Chordata, Aves, Passeriformes, Estrildidae.
UAUAAAAAGACUGUUUUUCUUCUCCUUGUGACAUGUUGUGUAACUGCAACCCUGGAGAGAGCUGCCAGUGAGGAAAAGCAUCAGGAUCAGCUCUGCUUUGCCCAGGCAAAAAUGGGCUUCUGUCUUUUACUAUCGAGCACGAAUACCCAGCCUGUAACCUAAAGACACACUGUGGGAAUGGAAAAGCAGCAGAUGAAGGUGGUCUUUUGCUCAGAGUUUCUAAUGUCCACCUACCUUGCACCGAGACAAAAGGCUCCCCUCUAGCAUUUUCUGGGGGUUACGCUAGCAGUCAUACUUCUGUGCCUGUUUUUAAUCUUCCUUGACACUUCCGCAGCAAUGCACAUGCCCUGAAGACUUAACUUGUCCCAGCUGAGCUGUUGCAGAACUCAAAAUGUGAAAACAAGAUAAAAAAAACCCUGCUGUCUCCCUUGACAGUGCAGGCUUGCUGCAGCCCCUGAUGAAAGUACAAACAGUACAAAGAGAUACCCAGCCAAGUGAAUAACUGCUUCAGCUGGGGACUAGCCAGAACUACAAGUAAACAUUUGGGCUGGAGACUAGAAAAUCUAUGCUGUGAAGGAUGUUACAGGCCAUUGUCUGGAUACUGCCGCUGGUGUUUAGGAGAGAUGAGGUUACUGCUCAGCAAAGAAGCAAGUCAGAAUGAAUAUGUAAACUGUUGCAAAGAAGUCAACUUCUUGAAAGCAAGGAGAGAUUGAAAACAUCUGCCAAGCUUCCCCAGCCUUCAAAAAUCAGGUGUGCAGGCUGUGGACACUUAGGGGCAUCCCACAGAGGUGUGAUCCUGACAGCAGCAAGGACAACAGAAAAUACACACAUGGGAAUGGGGUCAGGCCUAAUCAGCUGGAAUCCCUUUGGUGAGAAAUUGUUUGCCUUAACAAGUUUGGACACUAUAGAAAUUGCCUACAACUACCAGCUGAAUAUGCAUUAAAAAUCAUCAUUCAUGAGAAAGUGGUACCCAGUUAAAUCAACUGCAUAUGUGUAAUAAAUUACUUGGACAAGUCACUAUACAGUUGAGACCUUUCAUAUUGUCAUGUGUUUACAUACCCUCUAUUUUGCAUUUAGCAGGGACAACUUACUAAGUUUCACCAUCUCAGCUUUAUGGGUCUGGCACACUGAAUAAAAAUUUCCCAGCC